This 443-nucleotide ribosomal RNA is filed under the name uncultured bacterium. RNAcentral describes it as "partial 16S ribosomal RNA". It matches the Rfam family "Bacterial small subunit ribosomal RNA", at positions 338 to 795 of the family's 1533-position model. The record is from RNAcentral.
CCUACGGGAGGCAGCAGUGGGGAAUAUUGGACAAUGGGGGGAACCCUGAUCCAGCGACGCCGCGUGAGUGAAGAAGUAUUUCGGUAUGUAAAGCUCUAUCAGCAGGGAAGAAAGAAAUGACGGUACCUGACUAAGAAGCCCCGGCUAACUACGUGCCAGCAGCCGCGGUAAUACGUAGGGGGCAAGCGUUAUCCGGAUUUACUGGGUGUAAAGGGAGCGUAGACGGCGAUGCAAGUCUGAAGUGAAAGGCGGGGGCCCAACCCCCGGACUGCUUUGGAAACUGUAUGGCUGGAGUGCAGGAGAGGUAAGUGGAAUUCCUAGUGUAGCGGUGAAAUGCGUAGAUAUUAGGAGGAACACCGGUGGCGAAGGCGGCCUGCUGGACUGCAACUGACGUUGAGGCCCGAAAGCGUGGGGAGCAAACAGGAUUAGAUACCCCAGUAGUC